Molecule: transfer RNA, 73 nt
Filed under: Sus scrofa (pig)
Lineage: Eukaryota; Metazoa; Chordata; Mammalia; Artiodactyla; Suidae
Rfam family: tRNA
About the family: Transfer RNA (tRNA) molecules are approximately 80 nucleotides in length.
Source: Rfam by way of RNAcentral
UCCCUGGUGGCCUAGUGGUUAAGGGCUUGGCAUUGUCACUGCUGUGGCUUAGGUUCUAUCUCUGGUCUGGGGA